Molecule: signal recognition particle RNA, 95 nt
Filed under: Bacteroidia bacterium
Lineage: Bacteria; Pseudomonadati; Bacteroidota; Bacteroidia
Also listed under: 1 other name
Description: signal recognition particle sRNA small type
Rfam family: Bacterial small signal recognition particle RNA
About the family: The signal recognition particle (SRP) is a universally conserved ribonucleoprotein involved in the co-translational targeting of proteins to membranes. Archaeal SRP consists of a 7S RNA and homologues of the eukaryotic SRP19 and SRP54 proteins.
Source: RNAcentral
GGUGAGGGUCGCACGGCAUGCUCCUUCCGAAUCCCCCAGGGCAGAAAUGCAGCAAGGGCAAGAAGUUGAGCGGCUAGGUGUGAUUCCUCACUUUU